Molecule: ribosomal RNA, 500 nt
Filed under: uncultured bacterium
Lineage: Bacteria
Description: bacterial SSU rRNA
Rfam family: Bacterial small subunit ribosomal RNA
Source: RNAcentral
GAUAAACGCUAGCGGUGUGCAUUAUGCAUGCAAGUCGAACGGUUUAUCGCAAGAUAAACAGUGGCAAACGGCUGAGUAACGCGUAAGCAAUCUGUCCUUAAGUGGGGAAUAAUCCGCCGAAAGGUGGACUAAUACCGCAUGUGGUAGUGGAGUCAGUUCUUCAUUACUAAAGCUUUCGAGCGCUUGAGGAGGAGCUUGCGCCCUAUCAGGUAGUUGGUGGGGUAAUGGCCUACCAAGCCUACGACGGGUAGCUGGUCUGAGAGGACGUCCAGCCAGACGGGGACUGAGACACGGCCCCGACUCCUACGGGAGGCAGCAGCAGGGAGUUUUGCGCAAUGGGCGAAAGCCUGACGCAGCAACACCGCGUGAGGGAAGAAGGCCUUCGGGUUGUAAACCUCUUUUCUCAGGGAAGAAUAAUGACGGUACCUGAGGAAUAAGUCACGGCUAACUACGUGCCAGCAGCUGCGGUAAUACGUAGGUGGCAAGCGUUAUCCGGAUCC